This 496-nucleotide ribosomal RNA is filed under the name uncultured bacterium. RNAcentral's name for it is "partial 16S ribosomal RNA". It matches the Rfam family "Bacterial small subunit ribosomal RNA", at positions 28 to 507 of the family's 1533-position model. The record is from RNAcentral.
GAUGAACGCUGGCGGCGUGCCUAAUACAUGCAAGUCGAGCGAACAGACGAGGAGCUUGCUCCUUUGACGUUAGCGGCGGACGGGUGAGUAACACGUGGGUAACCUACCUAUAAGACUGGGAUAACUUCGGGAAACCGGAGCUAUACCGGAUAAUAUUUCGAACCGCAUGGUUCGAUAGUGAAAGAUGGCUUUGCUAUCACUUAUAGAUGGACCUGCGCCGUAUUAGCUAGUUGGUAAGGUAACGGCUUACCAAGGCAACGAUACGUAGCCGACCUGAGAGGGUGAUCGGCCACACUGGAACUGAGACACGGUCCAGACUCCUACGGGAGGCAGCAGUAGGGAAUCUUCCGCAAUGGGCGAAAGCCUGACGGAGCAACGCCGCGUGAGUGAUGAAGGUCUUCGGAUCGUAAAACUCUGUUAUUAGGGAAGAACAAACGUGUAAGUAACUGUGCACGUCUUGACGGUACCUAAUCAGAAAGCCACGGCUAACUACGUG